This 479-nucleotide long non-coding RNA is filed under the name Prunus persica (peach). RNAcentral describes it as "long non-coding RNA (PPER_LNC004248)". The record is from RNAcentral. Lineage: Eukaryota; Viridiplantae; Streptophyta; Magnoliopsida; Rosales; Rosaceae.
UUGGGUCUAUAGUUGAAUUUGUGCAUGGAGAUGGGCAUUAGCUGGGCAAUUCCAAGGGCAUGAAUUGUAAUGGACUGGUAAGAAGGCCAAAGUUAUGUGAGGUUGCAUGAUCAUGGCUGUGUUAUGGGUGGUAUCGAUGGAGAGAAACAGAAGGAUUCUGAAGAUUAUGCAGGGGCACGCUUUGAGGAGUUGCGAGGCAGAAUUCAUUUUUGGGAUGCGCUAUGGGCUUCUGUUUUCUUUAAAUUGAGUAUUUUAGGAAUGAUGUGGGAGGAAAAAUGGGAUUGUGGGCGGCCAUGCCUAUUGCUCAGCACACAUGAAUUUCAUCUUGGGUGAAAUAAAAUAAGAGUUUUUCUAUUUAAAUCUCGCACUUCUCUUUGUUCACUUCAUAUUCUAUAUUCACCUUAACUUUUAAUUCAAAUUUCAUAAUUUUUAAGAAAACCUCACUAUCUUCCCAAACUAACUCUAAAUACAUACUCAGC